RNAcentral lists this ribosomal RNA (1234 nucleotides) under metagenome. Its description in RNAcentral is "bacterial LSU rRNA". It matches the Rfam family "Bacterial large subunit ribosomal RNA", at positions 1564 to 2808 of the family's 2925-position model. The record is from RNAcentral.
UGAGUACGAGACGCUAAGGCGUCGAAGUAGUGGAUGUCAUACUUCCAAGAAAAGCUUGCACUGUCAUAAAUAGAAAACGCCUGUACCGUAACCGACACAGGUGGGUAGGUAGAGUAUACUAAGGGGCGCGAGAUAACUCUCUCUAAGGAACUCGGCAAAAUGACUCCGUAACUUCGGGAGAAGGAGUGCCUUAUUCGUAAGGCUGCAAUAACAAGAUCCAAGCAACUGUUUAUCAAAAACACAGGUCUCCGCUAAGUCGUAAGACGAUGUAUGGGGGCCGACGCCUGCCCAGUGCCAGAAGGUUAAAGAAGUCGGUUAGCAUUAGCGAAGCUGGUAACUGAAGCCCUGGUGAACGGCGGCCGUAACGAUAACGGUCCUAAGGUAGCGAAAUUCCUUGUCGGGUAAGUUCCGACCCGCACGAAAGGCGUAAUGAUUUGGAUACUGUCUCGGAGAGGGGCUCGGUGAAAUAGACUUGUCUGUGAAGAUGCGGACUACCUGCACCAGUACAGAAAGACCCUAUGAAGCUUUACUGUAACUUGAAAUUGAAAUUGGACUUUAUUCGCGCAGUAUAGGUGGGAGGUGUUGAUUAUAAUCUUGCGGGAUUAUUGGAGCCAUCAGUGAGAUACCACUCUUGUAAUGUUAGAUUUCUAACUUUGAAUCAUUAUCUGGUCAAAGAACAGUUUCAGGCGGGCAGUUUGACUGGGGCGGUCGCCUCCUAAAUGGUAACGGAGGCGUACAAAGGUUUCCUCUGAACGGGUAGAAAUCGUAUCUAGAGUGUAAGGGCAUAAGGAAGCUUGACUGUGAGACCUACAAGUCGAGCAGGGACGAAAGUCGGUCUUAGUGAUCUGACGGUACUGAGUGGAAAGGCCGUCACUCAACGGAUAAAAGUUACUCUAGGAUAACAGGCUGAUCUCCCCCAAGAGUUCACAUCGACGGGGAGGUUUGGCACCUCGAUGUCGGCUCAUCGCAUCCUGGGGCGGUAGUACGUCCCAAGGGUUGGGCUGUUCGCCCAUGAAAGCGGUACGCGAGCUGGGUUCAGAACGUCGUGAGACAGUUCGGUCCAUAUCCGGUGUAGGCGUUAGAAUAUUGAGAGGAGCCUUCUUUAGUACGAGAGGACCGAGAAGGACAUACCUCUGGUGUACCAGUUAUCGUGCCAACGGUAAACGCUGGGUAGCUAUGUAUGGAGUGGAUAACCGCUGAAAGCAUCUAAGUGGGAAGCCCACCUCAAGAUAAG